Molecule: long non-coding RNA, 469 nt
Filed under: Helianthus annuus (common sunflower)
Lineage: Eukaryota; Viridiplantae; Streptophyta; Magnoliopsida; Asterales; Asteraceae
Source: RNAcentral
AUGUUCUCAAUAAAUUUCAUACAACAAGAGGCAACUCCGACACCACAAGCCACCACCAAACCACCAUUAACAACCAUCGCCAACUCAUCACAACACAGAUCUGACAAUUUGUUGAACACUUAAUCUCCAAGUCUUCAAUUCGUUGAACCUACCAUCGGUCAUUGUCUCCCUCUCUCUGUUAGGUUUCGGAUUUCAGAUCUGCGCGACGGUGAAUCGGAAAAACGACCUGUGGCAGUGGCAGGCUUCACGUGAGUGGCGGCGGCCGACAACCACACUCAAAUCACCACCGCCGGAAAAACGAUCGGUGGCAGUGACGUCCGACGACAAUGAGUGGCUUCAGGAGGCUUCAUAUGACUGGCUGUGAGACGGUUAUGAUUGAGUUGAAAGCUAGGAUACUGUGGUGGUGACUGGGAUAAGGUGGUUGUGGCGGAGGUUGGUUGAACAGAGAAAGAGAAAGAGGGAGUGUGAG